CAUUGGACCCCGUGCGCUGAAAUCCCGUGAACGGGUCAGACGGGGAACCGAGCAGCCAUAAACGAAGGUUUCAGGUGCUGCGGGGGAUCUGAUGCGG
RNAcentral lists this signal recognition particle RNA (97 nucleotides) under bacterium. RNAcentral describes it as "signal recognition particle sRNA small type". It matches the Rfam family "Bacterial small signal recognition particle RNA". From Rfam's summary of the family: The signal recognition particle (SRP) is a universally conserved ribonucleoprotein involved in the co-translational targeting of proteins to membranes. RNAcentral also lists the same sequence under 2 other names. The record is from RNAcentral.